This 503-nucleotide ribosomal RNA is filed under the name uncultured bacterium. RNAcentral's name for it is "partial 16S ribosomal RNA". It matches the Rfam family "Bacterial small subunit ribosomal RNA", at positions 28 to 523 of the family's 1533-position model. The record is from RNAcentral.
GAUGAACGCUAGCGAUAGGCCUAACACAUGCAAGUCGAGGGGCAGCAUAGAGUAGCAAUACUUUGAUGGCGACCGGCGCACGGGUGAGUAACACGUAUGCAACCUACCUACAUCAGGGGAAUAACCCGGAGAAAUUCGGACUAAUACCGCAUAAUACAGGGAUGCCGCAUGGCAAUAUCUGUUAAAGAUUUAUCGGAUGUAGAUGGGCAUGCGUUCCAUUAGCUAGUUGGUAAGGUAACGGCUUACCAAGGCAACGAUGGAUAGGGGAACUGAGAGGUUUGUCCCCCACACUGGAACUGAGACACGGACCAGACUCCUACGGGAGGCAGCAGUGAGGAAUAUUGGUCAAUGGACGAGAGUCUGAGCCAGCCAAAUCGCGUGAAGGAAGACUGCCCUACGGGUUGUAAACUUCUUUUGUACAGGAAUAAAAGACAUUACGUGUAAUGUAUUGCAUGUACUGUACGAAUAAGCAUCGGCUAACUCCGUGCCAGCAGCCGCCGUAA